Molecule: ribosomal RNA, 506 nt
Filed under: uncultured bacterium
Lineage: Bacteria
Description: partial 16S ribosomal RNA
Rfam family: Bacterial small subunit ribosomal RNA
Source: RNAcentral
AGUGAACGCUGGCGGUAGGCCUAACACAUGCAAGUCGAACGGCAGCACAGGAGAGCUUGCUCUCUGGGUGGCGAGUGGCGGACGGGUGAGGAAUACAUCGGAAUCUACUUUUUCGUGGGGGAUAACGUAGGGAAACUUACGCUAAUACCGCAUACGACCUACGGGUGAAAGCAGGGGACCUUCGGGCCUUGCGCGAUUGAAUGAGCCGAUGUCGGAUUAGCUAGUCGGCGGGGUAAAGGCCCACCAAGGCGACGAUCCGUAGCUGGUCUGAGAGGAUGAUCAGCCACACUGGAACUGAGACACGGUCCAGACUCCUACGGGAGGCAGCAGUGGGGAAUAUUGGACAAUGGGCGCAAGCCUGAUCCAGCCAUACCGCGUGGGUGGAGAAGGCCUUCGGGUUGUAAAGCCCUUUUGUUGGGAAAGAAAUCCAGCUGGCUAAUACCCGGUUGGGAUGACGGUACCCAAAGAAUAAGCACCGGCUAACUUCGUGCCAGCAGCCGCGGUAA